CCUACGGGAGGCAGCAGUAGGGAAUCUUCCACAAUGGGCGAAAGCCUGAUGGAGCAACGCCGCGUGGGUGAAGAAGGUCUUCGGAUCGUAAAACCCUGUUGUUAGAGAAGAAAGUGCGUGAGCGUAACUGUUCACGUUUCGACGGUAUCUAACCAGAAAGCCACGGCUAACUACGUGCCAGCAGCCGCGGUAAUACGUAGGUGGCAAGCGUUAUCCGGAUUUAUUGGGCGUAAAGGGAGCGCAGGCGGUCAUUUAAGUCUGAUGUGAAAGCCUGCGGCUUAACCGGAGUAGUGCAUUGGAAACUGGGGGGCUUGAGUGCAGGAGAGGAGAGUGGAACUCCAUGUGUAGCGGUGAAAUGCGUAGAUAUAUGGAAGAACACCAGUGGCGAAGGCGGCUCUCUGGUCUGUAACUGACGUUGAGGUUCGAAGGCGUGGGUAGCAAACAGGAUUAGAUACCCGAGUAGUC
RNAcentral lists this ribosomal RNA (465 nucleotides) under uncultured bacterium. Its description in RNAcentral is "partial 16S ribosomal RNA". It matches the Rfam family "Bacterial small subunit ribosomal RNA", at positions 338 to 795 of the family's 1533-position model. The record is from RNAcentral.